This is a long non-coding RNA of Heterocephalus glaber (naked mole-rat), 2567 nucleotides long. RefSeq lists it as uncharacterized. Lineage: Eukaryota; Metazoa; Chordata; Mammalia; Rodentia; Bathyergidae. The record is from RefSeq and is a predicted model, not a curated record.
CCCUGGGGGGCCGUCCCGAGGCCUUGGCCCGGGACCAGGGGCCGGCGGCUUCGGGAGCUCGGAGCUCUCCGGAGAAGAGCGAGCUCUGAGAAGCCCUUGUGCCGGGGAAGGCGUUCUGUGCCAACCCCCUCUUUCCCACUCCACAGGGGGAAACCGAGGCGGGCGAGGGCGGGCCAGGCAGAUUAGCUGACGUCCCUGGGCAGCGCUGUGCCUCUGUCUUGCCACGCACCUUGGCUCCCUGCGACCUCCACCCCGCUCGGGCCCUGGCCCUGGCCCUGGCCCUGGGGUCGCGCACUGAGGUGCCCACGCAGUGACCCGACUUCCCCUCUGUGAAGCCGGGACCUCAGGCUGUGGGCUGGGACAGGAGAGGGAGUCAGGGAAAGGGGAGCGCAGGUGGUCCCCACUGUGUUCCUGCCGCGACAGCAGGUGGGCUGCAGAGGGGCAGGGGGAGAUGGGACAGAGCCAGGGUGCAGGGGGCAAGGAGCUGGCGUUGGGCCGGGCUGUUGGGAGAGGCCGUGGAGGGGAGAGGGCUGGGCACAAAGAUGUGGGUAGGACGGGACUACUAGAACAGGACUACUAGAACUGGAGCAGAAUCCCCACACCCACAAACGCAAACAUCUCAUACUUCCAUCUCAAUCAAAAAGGGCAGGCUGGAGCCCGGAGUACAAGGCCCCCGAGAGCUGGAGUCCUGGGGAACCAGCCCAGCCAGGAUCCCCUGGGACCCAGGGUGCUGAGCCCGCAGCCUUGGGCCGGCCCUGCUGCCUGCCACCCCCCCCCAGCCUGAUAUGGAUAGAAGGGGCACUGGACAGGUCAGGGUCCUGCACCCAGUCCGGCCCCACCACAGCCCCUUCCGCUGUGGGCACCAAGGCCCCAUCCCAAGUGGCCGAGGGAGGGAGGCAUGGUGGGCUGGGGAGGUGGCCCUGGGUCACUGCCUGGGGGACCCUGGCCUGUCCACCUGCUCCUGAAAGGUUGGUGACACCACUCGGCCUUCGUCCUUGGACUUGGAGCAGUCCCUGCUCUUCAGGACAGGUCUGAGGACCACGUGAGCUCAUGGUGCAGCGACCAGCAUGAGAGGGGUCAGUGCGAGUCUUCAGUGCUGUGAUUAUGCCAUCAUCAUUGCCCUUGGUGUCUAAUUCGAGGACAGAGCAGGCAGCUGCAAACGCCUAUUGAAACGAGGAGCCCAAGAGGUGGGCUGGGCACCCACCCAGCCCAGGAGCAGCCCUGCUCCCACCUGGCCUCUGUCACCUGCUGAUCAGAAGCAUGGGCCCCACCAUGUCUCCAGGGCUCCUGAGGGCCUCCUAGGAGGCCAUGAUGCUCUCUGCCGCUGAAGCCCUCAGCAGCAACCUUAGCCUGGACCUCGGGGGAUUUGCCUUGAAGAAUCACUUGAUUCCAGUCAGCUGAACUGGACUCUGACUCGAGUCCCUGGGGCUGUGGACCCGUGUGACCCGGAGCCGCUGGCUUCUCCUCUCCGUACCUCAGCUCACUCAGCCUAUAAGUCACAGUGUGCGCCCUCAGGACUGCUGGCAUAAGCUGGGGGAGAGCACUGAGGGUCACCGUGUGCCCUGGAAGUCCUUGUGUUGGAGAUGUAACCCAAGAGUCACAUGUGUUUGGAGGUGGGGAGCUGAGGCUGGAGCUAACCCUGUGAGCGGAGCACAGCGGGCCCUUCUGAAGAGCCAGCCUGCAUCCUGGGCACACGCCCGUCCUGAACCUGUCGUUGCCUGCAAGGGGCACUGGAAUCCAGGGCCUGAGUGCCGGCCCAUGACGGGGACACCUGCCCACUGGGUCUCUCAGUGCCGGGCCCUCUGCCUGGGCUCUGGACAGCCCAGGCUGCCUGUGGGUGUCAGCUGAGAUCACUCCUCUUUGGAGAAGCCCCUGGACCCUGGCUGGGAGACCCCACCUCCACUGGCCAGGGCCCUGUCUACCCCACCAGACCCCUCCAUGUCUCAGAUUUUAUGUCCUGCCUGGCUCUGUCACCAGACAUCAGGCCUCCCAGGCCAGGCUCCGUCCAGCGCAUCCUGGGGUCUCCAGCCCAUGCUGGUCUCUGGAGCAUCUUGGGGUCUCCCAUGCACCCUGGGGCAUCCAGAGCACGCUGCGUCUCUGGGGCAUUCAAAGUGUCCAUUCUGGAGUCUCCCACACGGGACAGCAGCCACUGGCAGUGAGGUCAGCGCGUGGCCCACACUGCAGUCCCAUUGGUUGCCUGCUACAGAGGAGGGAGGUCAGACCCGCCCUGUGUCCCUCUCAGCCCCCUGCCACCACCCCAUGUCUGCUGCAGCUUCCCACAACUUGCUGCUGUGGUAGCAGCGUGAUGCGGCCCGGCUCACCUGGGACCUGGUCUAGAAAGAAGGUGUGGAACCCCAGCUGGGUGGAAGUCCUGCAAAUCAAGAUUCGUGGUGACAAACAGAGCAGGCAGUGUCCAGGUGCUGAGCAGCCUGCACGGACUGGAGUGGCCGGGUCUUCUCUUGGCAAAGCUGCAGGUUUUUUUGUCCCGUCCUCACCUCCCAUUGCGUCCCCGAAAUUGAUUUACUUACAGCCAAAUGGAGAAACAAAUGAAAUAUGAUUUCAUUGUG